This 301-nucleotide ribosomal RNA is filed under the name uncultured bacterium. Its description in RNAcentral is "partial 16S ribosomal RNA". It matches the Rfam family "Bacterial small subunit ribosomal RNA", at positions 509 to 807 of the family's 1533-position model. The record is from RNAcentral.
CAGUCGCCGCGGUAAUACGAAGGGGGCGAGCGUUGCUCGGAAUGACUGGGCGUAAAGGGCGCGUAGGUGGUACGGACAGUCAGAUGUGAAAUUCCCGGGCUCAACCUGGGGGCUGCAUUUGAUACGUCCGAACUAGAGUGUGGAAGAGGGUCGUGGAAUUCCCAGUGUAGAGGUGAAAUUCGUAGAUAUUGGGAAGAACACCGGUGGCGAAGGCGGCGACCUGGUCCAUUACUGACGCUGAGGCGCGAAAGCGUGGGGAGCAAACCGGAUUAGAUACCCGGGUAGUCCCUGUCUCUUAUAC